Molecule: ribosomal RNA, 949 nt
Filed under: Agaricus sp.
Lineage: Eukaryota; Fungi; Basidiomycota; Agaricomycetes; Agaricales; Agaricaceae
Description: eukaryotic LSU rRNA
Rfam family: Eukaryotic large subunit ribosomal RNA
Source: RNAcentral
UAAGCAUAUCAAUAAGCGGAGGAAAAGAAACUAACAAGGAUUCCCCUAGUAACUGCGAGUGAAGCGGGAAAAGCUCAAAUUUAAAAUCUGGCAGUCUCUGGCUGUCCGAGUUGUAAUCUAGAGAAGUAAUGCCCGUGCUGGACCGUGUAUAAGUCUCCUGGGAUGGGGCGUCAUAGAGGGUGAGAAUCCCGUCUUUGACACGGACUACCAGUGCAUUGUGGUAUGCUCUCAAAGAGUCGAGUUGUUUGGGAAUGCAGCUCAAAAUGGGUGGUAAAUUCCAUCUAAAGCUAAAUAUUGGCGAGAGACCGAUAGCGAACAAGUACCGUGAGGGAAAGAUGAAAAGAACUUUGGAAAGAGAGUUAAACAGUACGUGAAAUUGCUGAAAGGGAAACGCUUGAAGUCAGUCGCGUUGGCCGGGAAUCAGCCUUGCUUUUGCAUGGUGUACUUUCUGGUUGACGGGUCAGCAUCAAUUUUGACUGCUGGAAAAAGGCCUGGGGAAUGUGGCAGCUUCGGCUGUGUUAUAGCCCCUAGUCACAUACAGUGGUUGGGAUUGAGGAACUCAGCACGCCGCAAGGCCGGGUUUCGACCACGUUCGUGCUUAGGAUGCUGGCAUAAUGGCUUUAAGCGACCCGUCUUGAAACACGGACCAAGGAGUCUAACAUGCCUGCGAGUAUUUGGGUGGAAAACUCAAGUGCGYAAUGAAAGUGAAAGUUGAGAUCCCUGUCGUGGGGAGCAUCGACGCCCGGACCAGAACUUUUGGGACGGAUCCGCGGUGGAGCAUGUAUGUUGGGACCCGAAAGAUGGUGAACUAUGCCUGAAUAGGGUGAAGCCAGAGGAAACUCUGGUGGAGGCUCGUAGCGAUUCUGACGUGCAAAUCGAUCGUCAAAUUUGGGUAUAGGGGCGAAAGACUAAUCGAACCAUCUAGUAGCUGGUUCCUGCCGAGUUCCCC